RNAcentral lists this ribosomal RNA (1258 nucleotides) under uncultured bacterium. RNAcentral's name for it is "bacterial SSU rRNA". It matches the Rfam family "Bacterial small subunit ribosomal RNA", at positions 57 to 1338 of the family's 1533-position model. The record is from RNAcentral.
GCAAGUCGAACGGACCCUUCGGGGUUAGUGGCGGACGGGUGAGUAACACGUGGGAACGUGCCUUUAGGUUCGGAAUAGCUCCUGGAAACGGGUGGUAAUGCCGAAUGUGCCCUUCGGGGGAAAGAUUUAUCGCCUUUAGAGCGGCCCGCGUCUGAUUAGCUAGUUGGUGAGGUAACGGCUCACCAAGGCGACGAUCAGUAGCUGGUCUGUGAGGACGACCAGCCACACUGGAACUGAGACACGGUCCAGACUCCUACGGGAGGCAGCAGUGGGGAAUUUUGGACAAUGGGCGCAAGCCUGAUCCAGCAAUGCCGCGUGAGUGAAGAAGGCCUUCGGGUUGUAAAGCUCUUUUGUCAGGGAAGAAACGGUGGGGGCUAAUAUCCUCCACUAAUGACGGUACCUGAAGAAUAAGCACCGGCUAACUACGUGCCAGCAGCCGCGGUAAUACGUAGGGUGCAAGCGUUAAUCGGAAUUACUGGGCGUAAAGCGUGCGCAGGCGGUUUUGUAAGUCUGUCGUGAAAUCCCCGGGCUCAACCUGGGAAUUGCGAUGGAGACUGCAAGGCUAGAAUCUGGCAGAGGGGGGUAGAAUUCCACGUGUAGCAGUGAAAUGCGUAGAGAUGUGGAGGAACACCGAUGGCGAAGGCAGCCCCCUGGGUCAAGAUUGACGCUCAUGCACGAAAGCGUGGGGAGCAAACAGGAUUAGAUACCCUGGUAGUCCACGCCCUAAACGAUGUCUACUAGUUGUCGGGUUUUAAUUAACUUGGUAACGCAGCUAACGCGUGAAGUAGACCGCCUGGGGAGUACGGUCGCAAGAUUAAAACUCAAAGGAAUUGACGGGGACCCGCACAAGCGGUGGAUGAUGUGGAUUAAUUCGAUGCAACGCGAAAAACCUUACCUACCCUUGACAUGUACGGAAGCCACGAGAGAUCGAGGUGUGCUCGAAAGGGAGCCGUAACACAGGUGCUGCAUGGCUGUCGUCAGCUCGUGUCGUGAGAUGUUGGGUUAAGUCCCGCAACGAGCGCAACCCUUGUCAUUAGUUGCUACAUUUAGUUGAGCACUCUAAUGAGACUGCCGGGACAGACCGGAGGAAGGUGGGGAUGACGUCAAGUCCUCAUGGGCCUUAUGGGGUAGGGCUUCACACGUCAUACGAUGGUACAUACAGAGGGCCGCCAACCCGCGAGGGGGAGCUAAUCCCAGAAAGUGUAUCGUAGUCCGGAUCGCAGUCUGCAACUCGACUGCGUGAAGUUGGAAUCGCUAG